GGGGUAGAGUUAGCUUGCUAACUUGAGACCGGCGCACGGGUGCGUAACGCGUAUGCAAUCUACCUUUUGCAGAGGGAUAGCCCAGAGAAAUUUGGAUUAAUACCUCAUAGUAUAUAUGAAUGGCAUCAUUUAUAUAUUAAAGUCACAAUGGCAAAAGAUGAGCAUGCGUCCCAUUAGCUAGAUGGUAAGGUAACGGCUUACCAUGGCUACGAUGGGUAGGGGUCCUGAGAGGGAGAUCCCCCACACUGGUACUGAGACACGGACCAGACUCCUACGGGAGGCAGCAGUGAGGAAUAUUGGACAAUGGGCGCAAGCCUGAUCCAGCCAUGCCGCGUGCAGGAUGACGGUCCUAUGGAUUGUAAACUGCUUUUGUACGGGAAGAAACCCUCCUACGUGUAGGAGCUUGACGGUACCGUAAGAAUAAGGAUCGGCUAACUCCGUGCCAGCAGCCGCGGUAAUACGGAGGAUCCAAGCGUUAUCCGGAAUCAUUGGGUUUAAAGGGUCCGUAGGCGGUUUAGUAAGUCAGUGGUGAAAGCCCAUCGCUCAACGGUGGAACGGCCAUUGAUACUGCUAGACUUGAAUUAUUAGGAAGUAACUAGAAUAUGUAGUGUAGCGGUGAAAUGCUUAGAGAUUACAUGGAAUACCAAUUGCGAAGGCAGGUUACUACUAAUGGAUUGACGCUGAUGGACGAAAGCGUGGGUAGCGAACAGGAUUAGAUACCCUGGUAGUCCACGCCGUAAACGAUGGAUACUAGCUGUUGGGCGCAAGUUCAGUGGCUAAGCGAAAGUGAUAAGUAUCCCACCUGGGGAGUACG
Molecule: ribosomal RNA, 814 nt
Filed under: uncultured Bacteroidota bacterium
Lineage: Bacteria; Pseudomonadati; Bacteroidota
Description: bacterial SSU rRNA
Rfam family: Bacterial small subunit ribosomal RNA
Source: RNAcentral